This 253-nucleotide ribosomal RNA is filed under the name uncultured bacterium. RNAcentral describes it as "partial 16S ribosomal RNA". It matches the Rfam family "Bacterial small subunit ribosomal RNA", at positions 524 to 776 of the family's 1533-position model. The record is from RNAcentral.
UACGUAGGUGGCAAGCGUUGUCCGGAUUUACUGCGCGUAAAGAGCGCGCAGGCGGUCGUUCAAGUCGCGUGUGAAAGCCCCCGGCUCAACUGGGGAGGGUCACGCGAUACUGAUCGACUCGAAGGCAGGAGAGGGUAGUGGAAUUCCCGGUGUAGUGGUGAAAUGCGCAGAUAUCGGGAGGAACACCGGUGGCGAAGGCGGUUCUCUGGGCCUUACCUGACGCUGAGGAGCGAAAGCGUGGGGAGCGAACAGG